CCCCAGACUCCUACGGGAGGCAGCAGUGGGGAAUAUUGCACAAUGGGGGAAACCCUGAUGCAGCGACGCCGCGUGAAGGAAGAAGUAUUUCGGUAUGUAAACUUCUAUCAGCAGGGAAGAAAAUGACGGUACCUGACUAAGAAGCCCCGGCUAACUACGUGCCAGCAGCCGCGGUAAUACGUAGGGGGCAAGCGUUAUCCGGAUUUACUGGGUGUAAAGGGAGCGUAGACGGCAUGGCAAGUCAGAUGUGAAAGCCCGGGGCUCAACCCCGGGACUGCAUUUGAAACUGUCAGGCUGGAGUGCAGGAGAGGUAAGUGGAAUUCCUAGUGUAGCGGUGAAAUGCGUAGAUAUUAGGAGGAACACCAGUGGCGAAGGCGGCUUACUGGACUGUAACUGACGUUGAGGCUCGAAAGCGUGGGGAGCAAACAGGAUUAGAUACCCGAGUA
RNAcentral lists this ribosomal RNA (446 nucleotides) under uncultured bacterium. RNAcentral's name for it is "bacterial SSU rRNA". It matches the Rfam family "Bacterial small subunit ribosomal RNA", at positions 329 to 792 of the family's 1533-position model. The record is from RNAcentral.